RNAcentral lists this ribosomal RNA (774 nucleotides) under uncultured Neocallimastigales. Its description in RNAcentral is "partial large subunit ribosomal RNA". It matches the Rfam family "Eukaryotic large subunit ribosomal RNA", at positions 26 to 632 of the family's 3401-position model. The record is from RNAcentral. Lineage: Eukaryota; Fungi; Neocallimastigomycota; Neocallimastigomycetes; Neocallimastigales.
CGUCUAUAUACGUAUAGCAUAUCAAUAAGCGGAGGAAAAGAAACUAACUAGGAUUCCCUCAGUAACGGCGAGUGAAGCGGGAAGAGCUCAAAUUUGAAAUCUUCAAGGUUCUACCUUGACGAAUUGUAGUUUAAAGAAGUGUUUUCUGUUGGAGUUUUGGUAAAAGUUCUUUGGAAUAGGACAUCAUAGAGGGUGAGAAUCCCGUAUUUGACCAUUAUUUCCAACUUUGUGAUACACUUUCAAAGAGUCGGAUUGUUUGGGAAUGCAGUCCAAAAUGGGUGGUAAAUUUCAUCUAAAGCUAAAUACUGGCGAGAGACCGAUAGCGAACAAGUACCGUGAGGGAAAGAUGAAAAGAACUUUGAAAAGAGAGUUAAACAGUACGUGAAAUUGUCAAAAGGGAAGCGUUUGACACCAGUGUUGUUUUCUCGAAAAUCAAUUAAAAAUGGCAGGAUUUUGUGUUGUAUUGACUUUAUCAGCUUUCUGCACUUUUUUCUUGUCUUUUUUAAUGCACUUUUCGUUUAACAAGUCAACAUCAAUUUCUUUUGCUGUAAAAGGGUCAUUGGAAGGUGGCUUUCUUUUCGGAGAAAGUGUUUAUAGCCUUUGACUUCUGCAAUCGGAGAGAUUGAGGUCUGCAGCGUAGAUCCUUCGGGGUUAGAUGCAUUUGUGCUAAGUUAUAGCCUUUCAUAGACAACUUGUUGACUAUGAUCAGUCAUGUAGCUUACUCGCUUAUGUUAUUUUACCUACGCUUAGGAUGUUGAUCUGUAGUGCGUGCGC